GCGGGAUUAGUUAAAUGGUAUAACUCUAGUUUUCCAAACUAGUGUCGGGAGUUCGAUUCUCCCAUCCCGCA
This 71-nucleotide transfer RNA is filed under the name Patescibacteria group bacterium. RNAcentral describes it as "tRNA-Gly". It matches the Rfam family "tRNA". From Rfam's summary of the family: Transfer RNA (tRNA) molecules are approximately 80 nucleotides in length. Their secondary structure includes four short double-helical elements and three loops (D, anti-codon, and T loops). Further hydrogen bonds mediate the characteristic L-shaped molecular structure. tRNAs have two regions of fundamental functional importance: the anti-codon, which is responsible for specific mRNA codon recognition, and the 3' end, to which the tRNAs corresponding amino acid is attached (by aminoacyl-tRNA synthetases). tRNAs cope with the degeneracy of the genetic code in two manners: having more than one tRNA (with a specific anti-codon) for a particular amino acid; and 'wobble' base-pairing, i.e. permitting non-standard base-pairing at the 3rd anti-codon position. The record is from RNAcentral. RNAcentral also lists the same sequence under 1 other name.